This 440-nucleotide ribosomal RNA is filed under the name uncultured bacterium. RNAcentral's name for it is "partial 16S ribosomal RNA". It matches the Rfam family "Bacterial small subunit ribosomal RNA", at positions 338 to 795 of the family's 1533-position model. The record is from RNAcentral.
CCUACGGGUGGCAGCAGUGGGGAAUAUUGGACCAUGGGCGGAACCCUGAUCCAGCGACGCCGCGUGAGUGAAGAAGUCUCUCGGUAUGUAAAGCUCUAUCAGUAGGGAAGAAAAUGACGGUACCUGACUAAGAAGCCCCGGCUAACUACGUGCCAGCAGCCGCGGUAAUACGUAGGGGGCAAGCGUUAUCCGGAUUUACUGGGUGUAAAGGGAGCGUAGACGGUGCAGCAAGUCUGAUGUGAAAGUGCGGGGCCCAACCCCGGGACUGCAUUGGAAACUGUUGAACUGGAGUACAGGAGAGGUAAGCGGAAGUCGUAGUGUAGCGGUGAAAUGCGUAGAUAUUAGGAGGAACACCAGUGGCGAAGGCGGCCUGCUGGACGACAACUGACGGUGAGGCGCGAAAGCGUGGGGAGCAAACAGGAUUAGAUACCCCUGUAGUC